Oreochromis niloticus (Nile tilapia) is the source of this 3942-nucleotide long non-coding RNA. The record is from Ensembl. NCBI's taxonomy places the organism in Eukaryota, Metazoa, Chordata, Actinopteri, Cichliformes, Cichlidae.
CCACUGACCUUGCUGUGUGUGUUAGAUAGCCUCUUACUGGAAGGCAGGAUUCAAGGAGAAUUUGAAGGUGUAAUUACCCUUCAAUGGGAUUUUUAAACUAGUAUAGUCUGAUUGGAUGGAUCCAGAGGACAGAGCUAGUUCUUGUGUUUCUUUUUCCAAGAUGAAACAAAUUCUCUAAUUCAGACCUCAGGGAAUAUAGCUACAAUGAUGCAGAGACCACAAAUAUUGAUCAUCUCAUUAGGUGUGAAUAUGUGUUUGGAGAGUUGUAAAAAAAUUGGUUGGAUCUGAUCCUCAGAAACAUCACCGAGAUGCAGAUCUCAGCAGAACAACCUAGUCGUAAACUGACUAUCAGAACCAAGCCGGACCAUGCAGACCAGCUGCUGGACCAGCUGCUGGACAGAGUGUUUCUCCGGGGGAAUGCAGGACUAGCAUCUGGAGGAGAAUCCCCAGAGGACGUUGAAUCACAAAGUGGAGGAGAAUUCGUGAAGGAAGUUGAAUUAGAACCUCAGAAGAACCUUAGAGAAGAAUCUGGAUCAUACCCAGAAGCUUCAACAUCCACUUCUCAUCCUCAAAGAGCUGUGAAUCCUCUUCAUAACAGACUGCAGCAGUGGUUCCAGGUGACUGCUCCUGGUCAACAUGAGAAAAAAAGAGAUUUCAAAACUGCAUCCCAUCAAACAUCUUCUGUGGAUCAAACCAACAACACGUACUCGCAGCAGUCCCAUGAAUCCCAGCAUGCCUCUUCCUCACCUAAGGGUCCUUCAUCCACUGCAUCCUCAGAGGAAUACAAGAAGUACGAUGAGACAGAAGAUUAGAAACACAAACACUUAUCAGAUUCUGAAUGAAUCUGUUAAAUAAAACAGCAGAGCAUAUAACAAUCAUGUUGGUGACCUCACUAACACGCAACACAGCAUUAGAGGAAGAAUUCUUGUUCUUUACUUAAGUUAAAGGAGUUACACCAAAAUCUAUAAAUAUCAGUUGUCUUUCUUUUAAAAUGAUCAUUUAGAAAACUAAUUUGGAAUCAUGUACAGCAGUAUUAAAGGUGCCAAGUACAGAAAAGUGAGCAUGGUAUACAGUUAUACAUGGUAAUAUAUGAUACCAACUUUUGGGAUAAAUAAAGUUGGUAAAUUUCUGUGUUACAGCAGCCAAAACAUUAAGCGUAACCUAGCACAGUAAAUAAUAAUCUAAAUAGAAUACAAUAAAAACUAAAGUGUGACUAAAAUACAUUAAUGCAUUUGAAAUACAAUAAUGAUGAGAUUAUUAUCACUUGUAAAUCGAUGCAUGUGAAAGUAUCUGAAGCAUGAAUGUUGCUGAGGUCCUGGGUUUCGGACGACUGGGUUUUCUUGUUCUGUCUUUUCCCCAUGUUAAGUUUCCUUUUACAUCUGUGGUUCUGUGUUUAGUUUUCGUUGCUUACUUCCUGUUUUACUUUAUUAGUCAGUCGUCUUGUGUUCAGUUGCGAUUGUCUUGAUUGUGUGCACCUGUGUCUCAGUUCUUCCCUGCUAUGUCUAAUCCCCAGGAGCCAUCAGAGUGUGAGUCCUGUCAUUCCUGUGCUCAGUGUUUAAGUAUCUGUUAUCAUCGUUUUGUCCUUGCUGACAUUUAUGGAAUUCUGUGGAUUUAUUUUGCCAUUUCAGUUCAUGGAUUUUGUAACUCUGGGCCCUGAACUACAAAGCAAGUUCAACAUACCAAGGGUAUAUCUCCAUUAUCUGUAUCCACUGGCCUUAACACUGGCGAACGGUAUAAGCAGUCACAUGAAACUAUUAUCAGCUUGCCGAGGCAACCCAGGGUUUUCCCUGCAUAUUCACAUGAAAGUGUUGCAGUGUCUGAUAAUUUAAAAGGGGCAUUUUCGAGAACAGAUGACUUCUCCUACACAGAAACUGAUUCCUGAGUCGCAACUACUCCAGAGACAUUAUCAGAUGAUGAUAAAAUGGUGAAUAAAAAGCUCUAAAGAACAUAAAAGAUAUAAUGGUACAACGUAACACUGUUGCAAAAAGGAUUUGAUGAAUGUAAGGAGCUUGUAAAGAAAAGCGACUGAAGGAGCUUCACGGAUGAGAACCGAAACCUCUCAAGAAACUUCCAGUUGCUUUUCGUUCCAAGCUCCUUAGAUUACUACUGGAUGACUGAGAACCUCCACAGGCAAUGUGAUGAAUGCUGCAGAAAAUCAUUAAUCUGGUGAUUUAGCACACAAAGUGAUAACAAUUUAAAUUCAACUUAAUUAGCCACUAUGCUCUCUAUGCUAUUUAUGUCACAUGCUAAGGUGGCAGAUCCAUUUAAACAUUGAAGCUUAAAUAAUACUGCCCCACAGUUUAAUAAAGGAGACACAGAAAUCAUUUUAGUUUGUCAGCAUAGCCACCUUCUGACAGUUUUAGUUUUUAUUCUCCCAGCUGCAGACUCAGAGAUGUUUAAGGGUUUGGAAGAUUAAAUAUAACAAACAGAUUUCAAACAAGGCUUGAUGUAAGAUGAGCAAGUACAACAUAGGUGUCAUAUUUUAAGAUACCUAAUACUAACAUAAUACUACUAUUUUUAAAUUGUUUGCUCCAAAUAAAUAGAAAAAAAGUCAAAUAAUAAAGCUCCCUUAGCAGCAACAACUGCAAUCAAGCGUUUGCGUUAACUGGCAGUGAGUGUUUUACAGAGCUGUGGAGGAAUUUUGGCCUGCUCGUCUUUGCAGAAUUGUUGUAAUUCAGCCACACUGGAGGGUUCACGAGCAUGAACUGACAUUUUAAGGUCAUGCCACUGCAUCUCAAGCAGAUUCAGGUCAGGACUUUGACCACCCCACUCCAAAGUCUUAUUUUGUUCUUCUUGAGCCAUUCAAAGGUGGUCUUGCUGGAGAGUUUUGGAUGAUUGACCUACUGCAGAUUGUCCUACUUCAGCUUGAGGUCAAAACAGACGGCUGGACAUUGUCCUUCAGGAUGUUUUGGUAGACAGCAGAAUUCAUGGUUCCAUUUACCACAGCAAGUUUCGCAGGUCCUGGGGCAGCAAAACAGCACAAACCAUUACAAUACCACCACCAUAUUUUACUCUUGGCUUGAUGUUCCUUUUCUGAAAUGCUGUGUUAGUUUUAUGUCACAUGUAAUAGAACACACAUCUUCCAAAAAGUGUUGCUGUUUGAGAUGUUUUAGCCUGCUUCGAUUUUUCAGACAGGUUAUAUUUAAGUGAUUUCUUCAUUUAAUGGGCAUAACUAGGUCCAUGAUUAGGUCCCACAGGGGCCAAGGCUCAGCAAGCCCCAGAACCAGCCAUGCACACACAAACAGGUUAUUGAGACUAUUCGCUCAGUCACUCACUCUCAUGCUUUCACACAUACACACUCAGCCAUUCAUGGUAGUUCUUUGGUUUGUCUCUUUUAUUUAAAUUUAGUGACUUAUACAGCUUUCACUUUUAUGUUUUGUUUUUCUUUUUUUUUUAUAUUUACCGUAAUUUGAUUUGCAGUGUGCCACUGAAGAAACCUAUUUAAAAACUCUCCGCUGCUUGAUUUCCUCUGACCAUGUGGUGGCAGCAAAACUCAAUAUCUGACUUACUACUAAUACUCAUUGUCAGUGAAACAUAUGUACAGCUUGUUUAGUGGAACUAAUCUACAUGUAUACAGACUCUAUCUGGAAUUUUCGUUAACCAAAGGAAAGGAAUUUAGCCAAACAGGUCAAUAUGAUAAACAACACGCAGCUAUAAACUUCCAAGUGAAAGCAGAAAAACAUUCAACAUGUUUCAUUUUGUCUCCCAGAAAUGUUUGAUGAUUACUUUAUGGUUUACAAAAUGUCUCACAUAGGAUGAUUUCAAAGUAUAAAGUUAGGAUCACUGGGCAGUAACUGUUAUUUGACACUUGGAUUUGAUUUUUAUAAAAGGAAAGAAAUUAAAGUUAGCUUUAUUGUCAGCUCCAAUAUGAAGAAAAUUGUAGAAACAUAGAAAUAAAAAAUACAAAAACCAAAAUACACAAAGUCAAAUAAGAAACUUAAG